GCUCUUGCAUCGAUGAAGAACGUAGCGAAAUGCGAUACUUGGUGUGAAUUGCAGAAUCCCGUGAACCAUCGAGUCUUUGAACGCAAGUUGCGCCCGAAGCCAUUAGGCCGAGGGCACGCCUGCCUGGGUGUUGCACAUCGUUGCCCCAUGCCUUGACCACGU
RNAcentral lists this ribosomal RNA (162 nucleotides) under Lupinus micranthus. RNAcentral's name for it is "5.8S ribosomal RNA". The stretch from base 1 to 133 matches the Rfam family "5.8S ribosomal RNA", at positions 24 to 154 of the family's 154-position model. From Rfam's summary of the family: 5.8S ribosomal RNA (5.8S rRNA) is a component of the large subunit of the eukaryotic ribosome. It is transcribed by RNA polymerase I as part of the 45S precursor that also contains 18S and 28S rRNA. Lineage: Eukaryota; Viridiplantae; Streptophyta; Magnoliopsida; Fabales; Fabaceae. The record is from RNAcentral.